This 94-nucleotide non-coding RNA is filed under the name Chattonella subsalsa. The record is from RNAcentral. Lineage: Eukaryota; Raphidophyceae; Chattonellales; Chattonellaceae.
UUUUUUUGUUUUUAUAUUAUUAUUAUUAUUUUUAACAGAAGAAUCAACUGGUUACAUAGCCUGUAACGGAGUUGGUUGCUAUUAUUGUAUUUAU